GCAGAAAUAAAUUAUCCUCGUCGGCAAAUCAGUCCUGUCUCCAUGCUGGAGAAGGAUCUGUGGCUAGCCUGAGCCAAGCUCCUGGACAGGGAUCACAGCAGCAGGUGUCUGCAGCGGUAGAGGAGUCUGUUGUACUGGAUGUCAAAGUGAAAGAGGAGGAGGAGGAUCCUGCUUUCGCAGAGAGACCUGACCACUGCUCUGAGAGUGAAGCGAGUCCCUCUACAACAGGACUACCUGAACAACACCAGGGGAAUCACACAGCUAAGAAGAUUCACUGCUGUUCAGUGUGUGGAAAAAACUGUCACAAGUUAUCAAAACUACAAAUACACAUGAGAACUCACACAGGAGAAAACCUUACUCCUGCUCUGUCUGUGGGAAGCAAUUCAGUGACAAAGGAAACCUGAAAAAACACCAGACGGUGCACACAGGAGAGAAGCAGUACAGUUGUUCCGUGUGUGGGGGAGUUUCUCUUCAUUGUCAAAUCUUACCAAACACCAGAUAACACACACAGGAGAGAGUCAAGUGUCUGUAGAAGAGUGUGGUUUUACACCACCAUUGGUUAUCAUAGUGAAAGAGGAGGACGAGGAUCCUGCUUUUGCAGAGAGACAUGACCACUGCUCUGAGAGUGAAGGGAGUCCCUCUACAUCAGGACUACCUGAACAACACCAGGG
This is a long non-coding RNA of Oncorhynchus tshawytscha (Chinook salmon), 671 nucleotides long. RefSeq lists it as uncharacterized. The transcript has 3 exons. The record is from RefSeq and is a predicted model, not a curated record. NCBI's taxonomy places the organism in Eukaryota, Metazoa, Chordata, Actinopteri, Salmoniformes, Salmonidae.